RNAcentral lists this ribosomal RNA (432 nucleotides) under uncultured bacterium. Its description in RNAcentral is "partial 16S ribosomal RNA". It matches the Rfam family "Bacterial small subunit ribosomal RNA", at positions 29 to 507 of the family's 1533-position model. The record is from RNAcentral.
ACGAACGCUGGCGGCAGGCCUAACCCAUGCAAGUCGAGCGCGCCCUUCGGGGUGAGCGGCGGACGGGUGAGUAACGCGUGGGAACGUGCCCUUUUCUACGGAAUAGCCUCGGGAAACUGAGAGUAAUACCGUAUACGCCCUUUGGGGGAAAGAUUUAUCGGAAAAGGAUCGGCCCGCGUUGGAUUAGGUAGUUGGUGGGGUAAUGGCCUACCAAGCCGACGAUCCAUAGCUGGUUUGAGAGGAUGAUCAGCCACACUGGGACUGAGACACGGCCCAGACUCCUACGGGAGGCAGCAGUGGGGAAUCUUAGACAAUGGGGGCAACCCUGAUCUAGCCAUGCCGCGUGAGUGAUGAAGGCCUUAGGGUUGUAAAGCUCUUUCAGCUGGGAAGAUAAUGACGGUACCAGCAGAAGAAGCCCCGGCUAACUCCGUG